GGGAAACUGCCCGAUGGAGGGGGAUAACUACUGGAAACGGUAGCUAAUACCGCAUAACGUCGCAAGACCAAAGUGGGGGACCUUCGGGCCUCACACCAUCGGAUGUGCCCAGAUGGGAUUAGCUAGUAGGUGGGGUAAUGGCUCACCUAGGCGACGAUCCCUAGCUGGUCUGAGAGGAUGACCAGCCACACUGGAACUGAGACACGGUCCAGACUCCUACGGGAGGCAGCAGUGGGGAAUAUUGCACAAUGGGCGCAAGCCUGAUGCAGCCAUGCCGCGUGUAUGAAGAAGGCCUUCGGGUUGUAAAGUACUUUCAGCGGGGAGGAAGGCGGUGAAGUUAAUAGCUUCGCCGAUUGACGUUACCCGCAGAAGAAGCACCGGCUAACUCCGUGCCAGCAGCCGCGGUAAUACGGAGGGUGCAAGCGUUAAUCGGAAUUACUGGGCGUAAAGCGCACGCAGGCGGUCUGUCAAGUCGGAUGUGAAAUCCCCGGGCUUAACCUGGGAACUGCAUUCGAAACUGGCAGGCUAGAGUCUUGUAGAGGGGGGUAGAAUUCCAGGU
RNAcentral lists this ribosomal RNA (559 nucleotides) under uncultured bacterium. Its description in RNAcentral is "bacterial SSU rRNA". It matches the Rfam family "Bacterial small subunit ribosomal RNA", at positions 120 to 674 of the family's 1533-position model. The record is from RNAcentral.